AUAUGUAGUAAUACCAUUUCAACUGCUGACACUCCUGUAAUUGUACAGUUUAAUUGCGGUUAUUAUACAGCUAGGCUCGUAAAAAUUACUGAAAGACAUCGGCAAGGACACCUCUUGUCGCUGUUUUCUUUACACAAGAACGCUGGAAUCGCACUUAAAUUUGAAGGGACGGUCUUCUUCUAUAGCCAGAGAGUGGAUGCCAUUUGCAGCCAAUAACAGAACAACUUGAAGUAUUGGUCAACGGCGUUGCAGAGCAAAGACAUUAAAGUUGUAGCUGACAUGGAAGACUGAAAGUCAUCUGAAUAUUUUGAAAAGAGUUACCUGUAUCAUUAUGAUUCGCGAAAACACCUAAAGCUCCGCGAGGCUCUGGCAGGGGGUAGUGGCGACCCCUGUUGUACUCUUUCGCCCCAACUUUCUCUCACUGUUUCUUGAAUAACGCGAUGGACUGGCGUCCCGUCCAGCUGGGGGCAACACAUACGCCAUAAAAACCGGGAAACUGGGCUCAUGAACCUGGCUAAGUUUUAAAAGGACGCAUAAAAAAAGAAUAAUAAAAAAAUAUAUAUAAGACAAGGAAGAAAAUGGAAGAGAGAUUCAACUGACAAACAUCAGUAAAAUUUACUUACUAUAAUCAUAGGAAUAAAUAAAUACAUAUCUCCACUCUUACAGCUGUUUCUACUUCGGGUAUCCAGAAUGCUACAGUUGACAUAUCAUACAAAAAUUGAACUCCAAUGCUUCAUCAGAGAGUCUGUAAGUCCAUAAUGGUAAGAUUUACUGACUUUCUGAUGAGGCUUUGGAGUUUAAUUCAUGCUGUAGCAUACUGGACCCCGAAGUAGAAACAGCUGUAAGAGUGGAGUUGUAUUUAUUUAUU
Octopus bimaculoides (California two-spot octopus) is the source of this 868-nucleotide long non-coding RNA. RefSeq lists it as uncharacterized. The record is from RefSeq and is a predicted model, not a curated record. NCBI's taxonomy places the organism in Eukaryota, Metazoa, Mollusca, Cephalopoda, Octopoda, Octopodidae.